RNAcentral lists this ribosomal RNA (440 nucleotides) under uncultured Bacillota bacterium. RNAcentral's name for it is "bacterial SSU rRNA". It matches the Rfam family "Bacterial small subunit ribosomal RNA", at positions 338 to 795 of the family's 1533-position model. The record is from RNAcentral. Lineage: Bacteria; Bacillati; Bacillota.
CCUACGGGUGGCUGCAGUGGGGAAUUUUCGGCAAUGGGGGAAACCCUGACCGAGCGACGCCGCGUGAGGGAUGAAGGCCUUCGGGUUGUAAACCUCUGUCUUCGGGGACGAUGAUGACGGUACCCGAGGAGGAAGCCACGGCUAACUACGUGCCAGCAGCCGCGGUAAGACGUAGGUGGCGAGCGUUGUCCGGAAUUAUUGGGCGUAAAGGGCGUGUAGGCGGCCUGUCAAGUCAGACGUGAAAUCCCUGGGCUUAACCUUGGGACUGCGUUUGAUACUGAUGGGCUUGAGGACAGGAGAGGAAAGUGGAACUCCGUGUGUAGCGGUGAAAUGCUCAGAUAUACGGAAGAACACCAGUGGCGAAGGCGACUUUCUGGACUGUCCCUGACGCUGAGGCGCGAAAGCCAGGGGAGCGAACGGGAUUAGAUACCCCUGUAGUC